AUGGUGCCGACAACUGCCUUUGUCUCUGAUCGACACGACCAAGCUCCUAACCGUCUUUGUUUUGCCUCGAUUUGUUUCUGUCUGAUUCGCCUCAGCGUCGAUGGCUUCAAGAAUAUACUCCCAUCCCUCCCGUCUUCAAAUCGUGAUUUCACAUCAUUUAUCCAUUCCGUUUCUCCAUAUCAUGGUACCGAUUCUCCUUAA
Vicia faba (fava bean) is the source of this 201-nucleotide non-coding RNA. NCBI's taxonomy places the organism in Eukaryota, Viridiplantae, Streptophyta, Magnoliopsida, Fabales, Fabaceae. The record is from the annotation of a GenBank genome assembly.